RNAcentral lists this ribosomal RNA (460 nucleotides) under uncultured bacterium. RNAcentral describes it as "partial 16S ribosomal RNA". It matches the Rfam family "Bacterial small subunit ribosomal RNA", at positions 338 to 795 of the family's 1533-position model. The record is from RNAcentral.
CCUACGGGUGGCAGCAGUGAGGAAUAUUGGUCAAUGGGCGCGAGCCUGAACCAGCCAAGUCGCGUGAGGGAAGACGGCCCUACGGGUUGUAAACCUCUUUUGCCGGGGAGCAACGGGCGCCACGUGUGGCGCCACUGAGAGUACCCGGAGAAAAAGCAUCGGCUAACUCCGUCCCAGCCGCCGCGGUAGUACGGAGGGUGCGAGCGUUAUCCGGAUUUAUUGGGUUGAAAGGGUGCGUAGGCGGAGCGUUAGUUCAGUGGUAAAAUUGAGGGGCUAAACCCCUUCCCGCCAUUGAAACUGGCGCUCUUGAGUGGAAGAGAAGUAUGCGGAAUGCGUGGUGUAGCGGUGAAAUGCAUAGAUAUCACGCAGAACCCCGAUUGCGAAGGCAGCAUGCCGGCUUCCUACUGACGCUGAAGCACGAAAGCGUGGGGAUCGAACAGGAUUAGAUACCCUUGUAGUC